RNAcentral lists this ribosomal RNA (468 nucleotides) under uncultured bacterium. RNAcentral describes it as "partial 16S ribosomal RNA". It matches the Rfam family "Bacterial small subunit ribosomal RNA", at positions 28 to 507 of the family's 1533-position model. The record is from RNAcentral.
GACGAACGCUGGCGGCGUGCUUAACACAUGCAAGUCGAACGGAAAGGCCCUGCUUUUGUGGGGUGCUCGAGUGGCGAACGGGUGAGUAACACGUGAGUAACCUGCCCUUGACUUUGGGAUAACUUCAGGAAACUGGGGCUAAUACCGGAUAGGAGCUCCUGCUGCAUGGUGGGGGUUGGAAAGUUUCGGCGGUUGGGGAUGGACUCGCGGCUUAUCAGCUUGUUGGUGGGGUAGUGGCUUACCAAGGCUUUGACGGGUAGCCGGCCUGAGGGGGUGACCGGCCACAGGGGGACUGGGUAGGGGCCCGCCGUCGUGCGGGAGGAAGGGGGAGGGUAUAUGGCACAGGGGGGGGGAGCCAGAUGCGGAACCCCCGGGGGCGGAGGGGCGGCUUUCGGUUAGUAGACCACUUUCUCUGGGGAAGAAGCGGAAGGGAGGGUAGGGUAUAAAGAAGCACCGGCUACCUCCGGG